UGGGGAAUAUUGCACAAUGGGCGAAAGCCUGAUGCAGCAACGCCGCGUGAAGGAUGAAGGCCUUUGGGUCGUAAACUUCUGUCCUUGGGGAAGAAAAAAAUGACGGUACCCCUGGAGGAAGUCCCGGCUAACUACGUGCCAGCAGCCGCGGUAAUACGUAGGGGGCGAGAGUUAUCCGGAAUUAUUGGGCGUAAAGAGUACGUAGGUGGUUUUUUAAGAGCAGGGUUUAAGGCGAUGGCUCAACUGUCGUUCGCUCUGUGAACUGGAAGACUUGAGUACAGGAGAGGAAAUCGGAAUUCCGAGUGUAGCGGUGAAAUGCAUAGAUAGUAGGAGGAACACCAGUGGCGAAGGCGGCUUUCUGGACUGUAACUGACACUGAGGUACGAAAGCGUGGGGAGCAAACA
RNAcentral lists this ribosomal RNA (404 nucleotides) under uncultured prokaryote. RNAcentral's name for it is "bacterial SSU rRNA". It matches the Rfam family "Bacterial small subunit ribosomal RNA", at positions 355 to 774 of the family's 1533-position model. The record is from RNAcentral.